GGAGAAUAAACGGACAUCGGUUAUAUGGGACCAGGAAGCGGGGCGCUACGUGUCACUGCCAGCAACUACUUCACGGGUUACCUUACCAAAUCCUUCUACCGAAACAAGCACGUUUGGAGCCAGGCCGAACUCUCAGUAUCCGAGUACCUCAGUAGUGACUCCAGUGCAGCAGCAACCAGAGAGACUUACCUAUACAGGACAGUCGAUAUUCUUCGGAGGACCGCUUCUAAAUGCUCCGGUUAGGGGCGGUCAGAGAAAUGAGGGCGCCACUAGAGCAAGAGCGGAAGUCGAGAGGGAUUCUAAUCUUCAAGUACAAAGAGAAAGAGGGGAGAGCGG
RNAcentral lists this unclassified non-coding RNA (336 nucleotides) under Hevea brasiliensis (rubber tree). Lineage: Eukaryota; Viridiplantae; Streptophyta; Magnoliopsida; Malpighiales; Euphorbiaceae. The record is from RNAcentral.